This 157-nucleotide ribosomal RNA is filed under the name uncultured archaeon. RNAcentral describes it as "partial 16S ribosomal RNA". It matches the Rfam family "Archaeal small subunit ribosomal RNA", at positions 322 to 479 of the family's 1478-position model. The record is from RNAcentral.
AUUACGGGGCGCAGCAGGCGCGAAAACUUCACACUGGGGGCAACCCCGAUGAGGGAAUUCCUAGUGCUAGGACAUUUGUUCUAGCUUUUCUCUAGCGUAGAUAACUAGAGGAAUAAGGGCCGGGUAAGACGGGUGCCAGCCGCCGCGGUAAUACAAU